Alligator sinensis (Chinese alligator) is the source of this 1448-nucleotide long non-coding RNA. RefSeq lists it as uncharacterized. The transcript has 3 exons. Lineage: Eukaryota; Metazoa; Chordata; Crocodylia; Alligatoridae. The record is from RefSeq and is a predicted model, not a curated record.
AUAGAAGGUCCUGGAGGAAGCUUUUGUGAACACAAAGGAAACUGUCCAUAGAAGGGCUUUUUACAGUAGUCCCAUGAAGAGAGGUUCUGAGGAGUUAGAGCAGGAUUCAACUUGGUGUCCUAAAGUCUACAUGUCUUCAAGCUUUAUACAAGCUCCAGCCUUCCUUCCAUCCACUCCCUCAUAGCCAGACCCUCAACCACCCAUGGAUGCUGAGACCCUAUAGACACCGCAGUCCGCUAUGCAGCCCUGGUCAUGAAAGCGGGACUACGAGGAGAUGAGGGAUCUCAUCUCCAUCAGUGGGGAGGAGAAGAUCCAGCACCAGCUAUACAAAGGGCACUGCAACAAGGAUGUCUUCAAGCACAUUGCCCAGCAAACGCAGGCACAGAACCACAACAGGGCAUUGCUGUGCUAAGACCAAAUGGAAGAAGAUCCAAUAUAGGUGUGUACAUGAUGCCAACAAAAAGCCAGGGCCAGGAGACAGACCAUGCCCUUCUAUGAGGAGCUGUUCUGCUUCCUCACCAUGGACAGGGCUGUCAAGACCUUGCAUACCUACAGUACCAUUGAGGAGCAGAAAGAGUUGUUGGCAGGGACCCCACUGGAGGAGGAGGAACAGGAAGGCUCUGGGAUGAUGGCACAACCAGGUCUCUGGGUGCCAUAGGGCAAGAGGUCAGGUGAUGGUGAUGGCCCCCAAGGAGUCCACCCCAUUGUUGCUUGUCCCUGAAUCAUUACAGGAUGUGGGAGCUGAGUUGUACCUGCAGCUGGACCUGAGCUCCCUUGACAUCUUCUUAGGCAUGGUCAAGAGCAGGAAGCAUUGCACACAGGAGCAGGGGGAAGCUCCAAUGCCACAGCAAUUCAGACCAACACCUCACUGCCCUGCUUCCAGAAGCACGGUGUCCCCCAGCCCUGCCACUACCAGCACAGCGGCUGCUGCUUCAACACGACAUGCAAGACCCAUGGCCAGCCUCCCCCGCUGCACUUCUGCUGAUCGAGCAUGUCAUGCUGUCUGGGAUGUAUGGUUCAGCCCCCACUCCAUGAAGCCAUGAUGGGGACCCAGGCAAUGGGGGAAAUGCAAAGUGUCUGAGGGGAAGGAAGGGGAAUGAGGGGACCCGCAUCCCUGUAGUCACAGCCCUCUUUCAGGCCAUUGUGGCACAGAAACCCAGAAGGGAUUGCGGGUGGGAUAGUGCAUGGAUGGAGGGGUGUGGGGAAGACUGUGAAUUGCCUUACCCUGGCUGCUCAAAGUGCAGGGCUCCAGGCUGCGAAAUGCUCAAGAGGUUUCUAUCUUUCAACACUGGGCAGACCAGUAACCUCCUCCCCUCCCACUUUCCCGCCCUACCUCCUAUGCUGGACCACAGCCAAGAUGCCAGGCUGGCCACCCCAGGUCUUGGGCUGUUAGCAAUCUAUCUUCUAUUCAAUGGGAACAUAAAUCAGCCUAAUUCACACCUUCAUGU